Long non-coding RNA from Saccostrea echinata, 736 nucleotides. RefSeq lists it as uncharacterized. The record is from RefSeq and is a predicted model, not a curated record. NCBI's taxonomy places the organism in Eukaryota, Metazoa, Mollusca, Bivalvia, Ostreida, Ostreidae. The transcript has 4 exons.
GUUUAAUUGCAAAAAUCCUUCAAAAUCAAUAUAUAGUUAAAAGGAAUUUGGUUGCAAAUGGCAUUAUGCUAAUUUAAAAAUAGAUUGAAGUUGGCUGAAACUAUUAGAAAAAUUAUCUCCCUUAGUGGAACUCUCCUUAUUUAAAGGAAUUAAAAGUGUGAUGUCUUAAUGGCAGACGAAAAGAUGAAGUGUUGAUUUGAGGACAAUAUUAUGAUAAAAGAUCUCUAGCUUUGUUGAAAGAUUGUAAAAUAGAUUCAGCUGAAUAUACAAGGUAUUUUAAAUGCAGCACAUAAGACAUUUCUGUCCGUGAAACGCUUCUUAUCGUUAACCAUCUUGAACCAUACAGCUGUUAUGGGACUUGGACAGUCUAAUUUCUGUAAACAUACCUACAUGUACAUGUAUGUGUCAAACACAGAAAUAUACUUGGUCUACACUGGAAAAGGAAAAAAGAACAUGUUGUCACCCAUACCUGAUAGGGGAGACGCUAUUAUGCAAACCCGUUAACCGAGAGGGUCAAGCUGAAUGAGGUUUUGCCUGUUGGAACUGGUAUAUGCAAAAGAUGUAUAGAAACACACUUUAAAAAAUCAGUAUGGAAGUAAAGCUGAAGGAAGAGCUUAAAGCAGAAAUGUGUUCCUAUUGACAAGGCAACAAUUGAAUCAAACCAAACAGAGCAAAGAGUGGAGGAAAAUGGAAGAAGUCAUGGACUUAACAGAAAACAUAUGACCUAAUACCUGCA